RNAcentral lists this ribosomal RNA (468 nucleotides) under uncultured bacterium. Its description in RNAcentral is "partial 16S ribosomal RNA". It matches the Rfam family "Bacterial small subunit ribosomal RNA", at positions 28 to 507 of the family's 1533-position model. The record is from RNAcentral.
GACGAACGCUGGCGGCGUGCUUAACACAUGCAAGUCGAACGGAAAGGCCCUGCUUUUGUGUGGUGCUCGAGUGGCGAACGGGUGUGUAACCCGUGAGUAACCUGCCCUUGACUUUGGGAUAACUUCAGGAAACUGGUGCUAAUACCGGAUAGGAGCUCCUGCUGCAUGGUGGGGGUUGGAAAUUUUCGGCGGUUGGGGAUGGAGUCGGGGGUUAUCAGCUUGUUGGUUGGGUAGUGGCUUACCAAGGCUUUGACGGGUAGCCGGCCUGUGAGGGUGAACGGGAAAAAUGGGACUGAGAGACGGCCCAGAGGGGAAGGGGAGGCAGGAGUGGGGAAUAUUGCACAAUGGGGGGAAGGGUGAUGAAGAAACGCGGCGAGGGGGAUGAAGGCCAUCGGGUUGUAAACGGCUGUAGCCUGAGACGAAGCGGGAGUGACGGUAAUGGGUAAAGAAGCACCGGCUAACUACGUG